AACGCUGGCGGCAUGCCUAAGACAUGCAAGUCGAACGAAGCGGCCCACUGACCUUCAUUGAAAUUGGAGUGCUGCACAAGAUGGAUUUGUAGUGACGUGGAUCUUCCGCUUAGUGGCAACGGGUGAGUAACACGUGGGUUACCUACCUCUAAGUUGGGGAUAACAGUUGGAAACGAUUGCUAAUACCGAAUGUGUUCUACGGAAUAAAGGAGCCUUUAAAGCUCCGCUUGGAGAUGGGCCUGCGGCGUAUUAGCUUGUUGGUGGGGUAACGGCCUACCAAGGCAACGAUGCGUAGCCGAACUGAGAGGUUAAUCGGCCACACUGGGACUGAGACACGGCCCAGACUCCUACGGGAGACAGCAGUUAGGAAUAUUCGUCAAUGGGGGAAACCCUGAACGAGCAAUGCCGCGUGAGUGAAUGACGGCCCUCUGGGUUGUAAAACUCUGUUGUUUGGAAAGAAUUGUUAGAGAAGGAAAUGUCUUUAACUUGACGGUACCAUUCAAGAAAGCCACGGCUAACUACGUGCCAGCAGCAGC
Molecule: ribosomal RNA, 536 nt
Filed under: uncultured bacterium
Lineage: Bacteria
Description: bacterial SSU rRNA
Rfam family: Bacterial small subunit ribosomal RNA
Source: RNAcentral